GCAUAACGCGAAGAACCUUACCCACCUUUGACAUGUACGGAAUCCUUUAGAGAUAGAGGAGUGCUCGAAAGAGAGCCGUAACACAGGUGCUGCAUGGCUGUCGUCAGCUCGUGUCGUGAGAUGUUGGGUUAAGUCCCGCAACGAGCGCAACCCUUGCCAUUAGUUGCUACGAAAGGGCACUCUAAUGGGACUGCCGGUGACAAACCGGAGGAAGGUGGGGAUGACGUCAAGUCCUCAUGGCCCUUAUAGGUGGGGCCACACACGUCAUACAAUGGCUGGUACAAAGGGUUGCCAACCCGCGAGGGGGAGCUAAUCCCAUAAAGCCAGUCGUAGUCCGGAUCGCAGUCUGCAACUCGACUGCGUGAAGUCGGAAUCGCUAGUAAUCGUGGAUCAGAAUGUCGCGGUGAAUACGUUCCCGGGUCUUGUACACACCG
This 434-nucleotide ribosomal RNA is filed under the name uncultured bacterium. RNAcentral describes it as "bacterial SSU rRNA". It matches the Rfam family "Bacterial small subunit ribosomal RNA", at positions 954 to 1392 of the family's 1533-position model. The record is from RNAcentral.